This 408-nucleotide ribosomal RNA is filed under the name Shinkailepas conspira. RNAcentral's name for it is "SSU rRNA". It matches the Rfam family "Eukaryotic small subunit ribosomal RNA", at positions 4 to 401 of the family's 1831-position model. The record is from RNAcentral. Lineage: Eukaryota; Metazoa; Mollusca; Gastropoda; Cycloneritida; Phenacolepadidae.
CUGGUUGAUUCUGCCAGUAAUCAUAUGCUUGUCUCAAAGAUUAAGCCAUGCAUGUCUAAGUACAAACUCUAGCACAGUGAAACUGCGAAUGGCUCAUUAGAUCAGUUAUGGUUCCUUAGAUGAUACAAUCCUACUUGGAUAACUGUGGUAAUUCUAGAGCUAAUACAUGCACUAAAGCUCCGACCCUUUCUGAGGGGAAGAGCGCGUUUAUCAGUUCGAAGCCAGCCGAGCCGCAAGGCUCGUCUCUUUGGUGACUCUGGAUAACUCUAGCGGAUCGCACGGCCUCGAGCCGGCGACGCAUCUAUCAAGUGUCUGCCCUAUCAGACUGUCGAUGGUAAGUGCUAUGCUUACCAUGGUGAUAACGGGUAACGGGGAAUCAGGGUUCGAUUACGGAGAGGGAGCCUGAGA